UGGGGAAUAUUGCACAAUGGGGGAAACCCUGAUGCAGCGACGCCGCGUGAGCGAAGAAGUAUUUCGGUAUGUAAAGCUCUAUCAGCAGGGAAGAAACUGACGGUACCUGACUAAGAAGCACCGGCUAAAUACGUGCCAGCAGCCGCGGUAAUACGUAUGGUGCAAGCGUUAUCCGGAUUUACUGGGUGUAAAGGGAGCGUAGACGGAUAGGCAAGUCUGAAGUGAAAGCCCGGGGCUCAACCCCGGGACUGCUUUGGAAACUGUUUAUCUGGAGUGCUGGAGAGGUAAGUGGAAUUCCUAGUGUAGCGGUGAAAUGCGUAGAUAUUAGGAGGAACACCAGUGGCGAAGGCGGCUUACUGGACAGUAACUGACGUUGAGGCUCGAAAGCGUGGGGAGCAAACA
RNAcentral lists this ribosomal RNA (402 nucleotides) under uncultured bacterium. Its description in RNAcentral is "bacterial SSU rRNA". It matches the Rfam family "Bacterial small subunit ribosomal RNA", at positions 355 to 774 of the family's 1533-position model. The record is from RNAcentral.